AGCAGUCGCCGCGGGAAUACGAAGGGGGCUAGCGUUGCUCGGAAUUACUGGGCGUAAAGGGCGCGUAGGCGGACAGUUUAGUCGGAGGUGAAAGCCCGGGGCUCAACCUCGGAAUUGCCUUCGAUACUGGCUGUCUUGAGUGUGAGAGAGGUGUGUGGAACUCCGAGUGUAGAGGUGAAAUUCGUAGAUAUUCGGAAGAACACCAGUGGCGAAGGCGACACACUGGCUCACUACUGACGCUGAGGCGCGAAAGCGUGGGGAGCAAACAGGAUUAGAUACCCCUGUAGUCCCUGUCUCUUAUAC
This 303-nucleotide ribosomal RNA is filed under the name uncultured bacterium. Its description in RNAcentral is "partial 16S ribosomal RNA". It matches the Rfam family "Bacterial small subunit ribosomal RNA", at positions 507 to 807 of the family's 1533-position model. The record is from RNAcentral.